AAUAUUGGACAAUGGGGGCAACCCUGACCCAGCCAUGCCGCGUGGCUGACGAAGGUCCUCGGAUUGUAAAGCACUUUAAGUUGGGAGGAAGGGCUUUAGGUUAAUACCCUGAAGUUUUGACGUUACGAACAGAAUAAGCACCGGCUAACUCCGUGCCAGCAGCCGCGGUAAUACAGAGGGUGCAAGCGUUAAUCGGAAUUACUGGGCGUAAAGCGCGCGUAGGUGGUUCAGUAAGAUGGGUGUGAAAUCCCCGGGCUUAACCUGGGAACUGCUUUCAUAACUGAUGAGCUAGAGUACGGUAGAGGAUAGUGGAAUUUCCUGUGUAGCGGUGAAAUGCGUAGAUAUAGGAAGGAACACCAGUGGCGAAGGCGACUACCUGGACUGAUACUGACACUGAGGUGCGAAAGCGUGGGGAGCAAAC
This 421-nucleotide ribosomal RNA is filed under the name uncultured bacterium. Its description in RNAcentral is "partial 16S ribosomal RNA". It matches the Rfam family "Bacterial small subunit ribosomal RNA", at positions 360 to 773 of the family's 1533-position model. The record is from RNAcentral.